GGUUCCACUGUGUAGCGGUGAGCGCGUCUGCUUUACACGCAGAAGGUCCUGGGUUCGCGCCCCAGUGGAGCCA
Non-coding RNA from Pteropus alecto (black flying fox), 73 nucleotides. NCBI's taxonomy places the organism in Eukaryota, Metazoa, Chordata, Mammalia, Chiroptera, Pteropodidae. The record is from Rfam.